CUGCAAUAAGGAUGAAAACUCAACCAAGUCAUUCUUGAGUCACAUUGCAGAAGUUAAAUGCAAAAAAGAACUCAUAAUAUAACCAACUACAUAUGAUGAACCAACCAUAUGUGAUAACGGUAAUGACUCCCAACUUAGCUAGUCUUACGUUACUAGACAUAGUAAUUAGCAUGAAGACAAUUCAACCAGUAAAUUACACAGCAAGAAUUACAAAGAGCUUUACUUACCUGUAACUUGGAGAUGAGGGACUGUACGGACUAGAAGGUGUGAUCUUUGGACUAGUAGGCGAGUAUGCUAGGGAAGGGCUGUAUCUGGCUGAGGGAUUGUAACUCGGUGAUGUAAGUAUGCUAGGGAAGGGCUGUAUCUGGCUGAGGGAUUGUAACUCGGUGAUGUAGGGCUGUAACUUGGAGAGGUAGGGCUGUAACUGGGGGAGGUGGGGCUAUAUCCAGGAGAGGUUGGGCUAUAUGCAGGUGAGGUGGGGCUGUAUGAUGGAGAAGUUGGACUGUAUGACGGAGAGGUGGGGCUGUACGAUGGAGAAGUUGGACUAUACGAUGGAGAAGUCGGACUGUAUGACGGAGAAGUCGGGCUGUACGCAGGAGAAGUCGGGCUGUAUGCUGGGGAAGUUGGGCUGUACGCAGGAGAAGUAGGGCUGUAACUUGGAGAUGUAGGGCUGUAACUUGGCGACGUUGGGCUGUAACUAGGUGAUGUUGGGCUGUAACUGGGAGAAGUUGGUGAAUACGAUGGACUUGUAGGAGAAUAUGCAGGACUUGUUGGGCUAUAUCCAGGAGAACUAGGGCUAUAGGUCGGGGAAGUGGGACUAUAACCAGGGGAAGUGGGGCUAUAACCGGGGGAGGUGGGGCUAUAUCCAGGGGAGGAUGGACUGUAUCCAGGAGAUGAUGGGCUGUAGCCUGGAGACGAUGUCGGUGAAAAAGCCAUUCCACCAGCGUAAGG
RNAcentral lists this long non-coding RNA (951 nucleotides) under Olea europaea (common olive). RNAcentral describes it as "long non-coding RNA (OEUR_LNC002579)". The record is from RNAcentral. Lineage: Eukaryota; Viridiplantae; Streptophyta; Magnoliopsida; Lamiales; Oleaceae.